Molecule: ribosomal RNA, 497 nt
Filed under: uncultured bacterium
Lineage: Bacteria
Description: partial 16S ribosomal RNA
Rfam family: Bacterial small subunit ribosomal RNA
Source: RNAcentral
GAUGAACGCUGGCGGCGUGCCUAAUACAUGCAAGUCGAGCGAACAGACGCGGAGCUUUCUCCUCUGACGUUAGCGGCGGACGUGUGAGUAACACGUGUAUAACCUACCUAUAAGACUGGGAUCACUUCGGGAACCCGGAGCUCAUACCGGCUACUAUAUUGAACCGCAUGGUUCAAUAGUUACAGCCGGUUUUGCUGUCACUUAUAGAUGGAUCCGCGCCUCAUUAGCUAGUUGGUAAGGUAACGGCUUACCAAGGCAACGAUGCGUAGCCGACCUGAGAGGGUGAUCGGCCACACUGGAACUGAGACACGGUCCAGACUCCUACGGGAGGCAGCAGUAGGGAAUCUUGCGCAAUGGGCGAAAGCCUGACGGAGCAACGCCGCGUGAGUGAUGAAGGUCUUCGGAUCGUAAAACUCUGUUAUUAGGGAAGAACAAAUGUGUAAGUAACUAUGAACGUCUUGACGGUACCUAAUCAGAAAGCCACGGCUAACUACGUG